UACAGAGGGUGCGAGCGUUAUUCGGAAUUAUUGGGCGUAAAGCGUGCGUAGGCGGUUUCGUAAGUCGGGUGUGAAAUCCCCGGGCUCAACCUGGGAAUUGCAUUCGAAACUGCGAGGCUAGGGUACGGAAGAGGGAAGCGGAAUUUCUGGUGUAGCGGUGAAAUGCGUAGAUAUCAGAAGGAACAUCAGUGGCGAAAGCGGCUUCCUGGUCCAGUACCGACGUUCAGGCACGAAAGCGUGGGGAGCAAACAGG
Molecule: ribosomal RNA, 253 nt
Filed under: uncultured bacterium
Lineage: Bacteria
Description: partial 16S ribosomal RNA
Rfam family: Bacterial small subunit ribosomal RNA
Source: RNAcentral